Long non-coding RNA from Lathyrus oleraceus (garden pea), 424 nucleotides. RefSeq lists it as uncharacterized. The record is from RefSeq and is a predicted model, not a curated record. NCBI's taxonomy places the organism in Eukaryota, Viridiplantae, Streptophyta, Magnoliopsida, Fabales, Fabaceae. The transcript has 2 exons.
AUUCCUCUUUCAAUUUUCGUUCUCUUUGAAAUUGAGCUCUUGCUAAUGCUUUUAGUAAGAGGUAUACUUAGUUUCAUGCAGAAGCAAUUUUUUUUAUAUAAAAAAAAUCAUAAUUCACGUAUCAUGCACAUGUACGGGUGUAUGCAAUAUUAUCAACCUUAUGGAAUUGUUAUUGCAUGUAUAAAGCAAACAAGGUAUUUUACAAUUUUUGAUGAAAAUAACACAUGGGAGCAAGGUUUUAAACAAGGGUUGCAGUCGUGUUGCGGUGCGUACGGUCAUCGGUCAGUAGAGGUGUUACGACACUUGUUGUGGUCCUCGCGAUACCGUUUUUUUGCGACCGAGUUCCGUUUUUAAAAUGGAAUGCAACCAUGUAGAAUCGACAUAAGGCAUCUAUAUACAAAUCAAAGAUGAAGGAAUUAGGCAU